Candoia aspera is the source of this 125-nucleotide small nucleolar RNA. RefSeq annotates it as small nucleolar RNA SNORA17. NCBI's taxonomy places the organism in Eukaryota, Metazoa, Chordata, Lepidosauria, Squamata, Candoiidae. The transcript has a single exon. The record is from RefSeq and is a predicted model, not a curated record.
CUUGCCCCAGCAGGUGCAGCUGUUGUGCUGUGUUUGUGUCAUCAGGUGGCAAAGAGAAGCUGGCUGUGUCUAAGCUCAGUCUUCUGUGGCCUGUGAGCACCCAGAAUGAAUUGUUGCCCAACAAG